AACCUGCCCACUGAAAUUUUUUAAAUGGCCGCAGUAUUCUAACUGUGCAAAGGUAGCAUAAUCAUUAGUCUUUUAAUUGAAGGCUGGUAUGAAUGGUUGGACGAGAUAUUAACUGUUUCAUUUAAAUUUAUAAUAGAAUUUUAUUUUUUAGUCAAAAAGCUAAAAUAAAAUUAAAAGACGAGAAGACCCUAUAAAUCUUUAUAUAUAGAUUAUUAGAAUUUUGUAGAUUUUUUUUGUUAUAAUAGUUGAUUAUAUUUUAUUGGGGUGAUAUUAAAAUUUAAUAAACUUUUAAUUGAAAAUAUCAUAAAUUAAUGAAUUAUUGAUCCGUUAAUAGCGAUUAAAAAAAUAAGUUACUUUAGGGAUAACAGCGUAAUUUUUCUGGAGAGUUCAUAUCGAUAGAAAAGAUUGCGACCUCGAUGUUGGAUUAAGAUAUAAUUUUAGGUGUAGCCGCUUAAAUUUUGAGUCUGUUCGACUUUUAAAUUCUUACAUGAUCUGAGUUCAAACCGGCGUAAGCCAGGUUGGUUUCUAUCUUUAAUAA
RNAcentral lists this ribosomal RNA (538 nucleotides) under Peckia ingens. RNAcentral's name for it is "partial small subunit ribosomal RNA". It matches the Rfam family "Bacterial large subunit ribosomal RNA", at positions 1856 to 2650 of the family's 2925-position model. The record is from RNAcentral. Lineage: Eukaryota; Metazoa; Arthropoda; Insecta; Diptera; Sarcophagidae.